RNAcentral lists this ribosomal RNA (253 nucleotides) under uncultured bacterium. RNAcentral's name for it is "partial 16S ribosomal RNA". It matches the Rfam family "Bacterial small subunit ribosomal RNA", at positions 524 to 776 of the family's 1533-position model. The record is from RNAcentral.
UACGUAGGUGGCGAGCGUGGUCCGGAUUUACUGGGCGUAAAGAGCGCGCAGGCGGUCGUACAAGUCGCGUGUGAAAGCCCCCGGCUCAACUGGGGAGGGUCACGCGAUACUGUUCGACUCGAAGGCAGGAGAGGGUAGUGGAAUUCCCGGUGUAGUGGUGAAAUGCGUAGAUAUCGGGAGGAACACCAGUGGCGAAGGCGACUACCUGGCCUGUUCUUGACGCUGAGGCGCGAAAGCUAGGGUAGCAAACGGG